UACAGAGGUCCCGAGCGUUGUUCGGAUUCAUUGGGCGUAAAGGGUGCGUAGGCGGCGGGGCCAGUCUGAUGUGAAAUCCCGGGGCUCAACCCCGGAACUGCAUUGGAUACUGCCUUGCUAGAGUACUGGAGAGGGAACUGGAAUUUACGGUGUAGCAGUGAAAUGCGUAGAGAUCGUAAGGAAGGCCAGUGGCGAAGGCGAGUUCCUGGACAGUGACUGACGCUGAGGCACGAAGGCCAGGGGAGCAAACGGG
Molecule: ribosomal RNA, 253 nt
Filed under: uncultured bacterium
Lineage: Bacteria
Description: partial 16S ribosomal RNA
Rfam family: Bacterial small subunit ribosomal RNA
Source: RNAcentral